Molecule: ribosomal RNA, 663 nt
Filed under: Salmonella enterica
Lineage: Bacteria; Pseudomonadati; Pseudomonadota; Gammaproteobacteria; Enterobacterales; Enterobacteriaceae
Description: partial 23S ribosomal RNA
Rfam family: Bacterial large subunit ribosomal RNA
Source: RNAcentral
CUGCGGCAGCGAACGUAUCACCCAAGACAACUUUGCACAGUUGACGAUUGACGGAGCGGAGCGACGUCAAAGCGUUUUACAACGUUGAGUUGGCUUAGGGAUACGUUCGUUGGGUAGGGGAGCGUUCUGUAAGCCUGCGAAGGUGUGCUGUGAGGCAUGCUGGAGGUAUCAGAAGUGCGAAUGCUGACAUAAGUAACGAUAAAGCGGGUGAAAAGCCCGCUCGCCGGAAGACCAAGGGUUCCUGUCCAACGUUAAUCGGGGCAGGGUGAGUCGACCCCUAAGGCGAGGCCGAAAGGCGUAGUCGAUGGGAAACGGGUUAAUAUUCCCGUACUUGGUGUUACUGCGAAGGGGGGACGGAGAAGGCUAUGUUGGCCGGGCGACGGUUGUCCCGGUUUAAGCGUGUAGGUGUGUGUUCCAGGUAAAUCCGGUUCACUUUAACACUGAGGCGUGAUGACGAGGCACUACGGUGCUGAAGCAACAAAUGCCCUGCUUCCAGGAAAAGCCUCUAAGCAUCAGGUAACACGAAAUCGUACCCCAAACCGACACAGGUGGUCAGGUAGAGAAUACCAAGGCGCUUGAGAGAACCCGGGUGAAGGAACUAGGCAAAAUGGUGCCGUAACUUCGGGAGAAGGCACGCUGACACGUAGGUGAAGUGAUUUACUC